Molecule: ribosomal RNA, 253 nt
Filed under: uncultured bacterium
Lineage: Bacteria
Description: partial 16S ribosomal RNA
Rfam family: Bacterial small subunit ribosomal RNA
Source: RNAcentral
UACAGAGGGGGCAAGCGUUAUUCGGAAUUAUUGGGCGUAAAGGGCGCGUAGGCGGCCAUUCAAGUGACGGGUGAAAGCCCUCGGCUUAACCGAGGAACUGCAUGUCAGACUGGAUGGCUUGAGACCGGGAGAGGUGAGUGGAAUUCCCAGUGUAGCGGUGAAAUGCGUAGAUAUUGGGAGGAACACCAGUGGCGAAGGCGGCUCACUGGACCGGAACUGACGCUGAGGCGCGAAAGCGUGGGGAGCAAACAGG